This 450-nucleotide ribosomal RNA is filed under the name uncultured organism. Its description in RNAcentral is "partial 16S ribosomal RNA". It matches the Rfam family "Bacterial small subunit ribosomal RNA", at positions 333 to 799 of the family's 1533-position model. The record is from RNAcentral.
ACACUCCUGCGGGAGGCAGCAGUGGGGAAUAUUGGACAAUGGGCGCAAGCCUGAUCCAGCCAUGCCGCGUGAGUGAUGAAGGCCCUAGGGUUGUAAAGCUCUUUCACCGGUGAAGAUAAUGACGGUAACCGGAGAAGAAGCCCCGGCUAACUUCGUGCCAGCAGCCGCGGUAAUACGAAGGGGGCUAGCGUUGUUCGGAUUUACUGGGCGUAAAGCGCACGUAGGCGGACUAUUAAGUCAGGGGUGAAAUCCCGGGGCUCAACCCCGGAACUGCCUUUGAUACUGGUAGUCUUGAGUUCGAGAGAGGUGAGUGGAAUUCCGAGUGUAGAGGUGAAAUUCGUAGAUAUUCGGAGGAACACCAGGGGCGAAGGCGGCUCACUGGCGCGAUACUGACGCUGAGGUGCGAAAGCGUGGGGAGCAAACAGGAUUAGAUACCCGGGUAGUCCCAUG